AAGUAAAAGUCGUAACAAGGUUUCCGUAGGUGAACCUGCGGAAGGAUCAUUAUUGAAAUUAUAGGCGAGGGUUGUAGCUGGCCUCUCGGGGCAUGUGCACGCCCGAGCCCUUAAUCCCACACACACCUGUGAACCUAUUGUAAGGGCCCGUAAAAAAGGCCUUUACGUCUUUAUCACCUACCCGAAGUCUCAUAGAAUGUAAACAUAUGUCCUCGCCUUAAAAAAGCGUUGAUAAAAUUUAUACAACUUUCAACAACGGAUCUCUUGGCUCUCGCAUCGAUGAAGAACGCAGCGAAAUGCGAUAAGUAAUGUGAAUUGCAGAUUUUCAGUGAAUCAUCGAAUCUUUGAACGCACCUUGCGCUCCUUGGUAUUCCGAGGAGCAUGCCUGUUUGAGUGUCAUUAAAUUCUCAAACUCUGAUUGAUUUGUUUCAAUCGAGCUUUGGAUUUGGAGCGUGCCGGCGUCAGUCGGCUCCUCUUGAAUGCAUCAGCGGAAUCCCAUUCAUUUUCGGACGUCAGUGUGAUAAUCAUGUUGUGCUGUCUUUACGAUCUUGAAAGCCCGCUCACAAUGGUCUUCGGACAAACCUCACUAUCAUAUUUGACCUCAAAUCAGGUAGGACUACCCGCUGAACUUAAGCAUA
RNAcentral lists this ribosomal RNA (638 nucleotides) under Piloderma byssinum. Its description in RNAcentral is "eukaryotic LSU rRNA". The stretch from base 245 to 399 matches the Rfam family "5.8S ribosomal RNA". The record is from RNAcentral. Lineage: Eukaryota; Fungi; Basidiomycota; Agaricomycetes; Atheliales; Atheliaceae.